This 370-nucleotide ribosomal RNA is filed under the name uncultured eukaryote. RNAcentral's name for it is "partial 18S ribosomal RNA". It matches the Rfam family "Eukaryotic small subunit ribosomal RNA", at positions 592 to 976 of the family's 1831-position model. The record is from RNAcentral.
CAAUAGCGUAUAUUAAAGUUGUUGCAGUUAAAAAGCUCGUAGUUGGAUUUCUGGUCGGAAGCUCCUGUCCUCUGAUGAGCGUACAAGUGCGUCCUACCAUCCUUCUGUUAACCUUUAAGGCUUUCGCGGCUUUCUAGGGGCUCAGAUAUUUUACCUUGAGAAAAUUAGAGUGUUUCAGGCAGGCUAGCGCCGGAAUACAUUAGCAUGGAAUAAUGGAAUGGGACUUUUGCCUCUUCUGUUGGUCAUGAGGCUCGAGUAAUGAUUAAUAGGGAUAGUUGGGGGCAUUAGUACUUAACUGUCAGAGGUGAAAUUCUCGGAUUUGUUAAAGACUAACUUAUGCGAAAGCAUUUGCCAAGGAUGUUUUCAUUAA